RNAcentral lists this ribosomal RNA (253 nucleotides) under uncultured bacterium. RNAcentral's name for it is "partial 16S ribosomal RNA". It matches the Rfam family "Bacterial small subunit ribosomal RNA", at positions 524 to 776 of the family's 1533-position model. The record is from RNAcentral.
UACAGAGGUCUCAAGCGUUGUUCGGAUUCAUUGGGCGUAAAGGGUGUGUAGGUGGCGCGCUAAGUCGGGUGUGAAAUUUCGGAGCUUAACUCCGAAACUGCAUUCGAUACUGGCGUGCUUGAGGACUGGAGAGGAGACUGGAAUUCAUGGUGUAGCAGUGAAAUGCGUAGAGAUCAUGAGGAAGACCAGUGGCGAAGGCGGGUCUCUGAACAGUUCCUGACACUGAGACACGAAGGCCAGGGGAGCAAACGGG